Molecule: ribosomal RNA, 495 nt
Filed under: uncultured Glomeromycotina
Lineage: Eukaryota; Fungi; Glomeromycota
Description: partial small subunit ribosomal RNA
Rfam family: Eukaryotic small subunit ribosomal RNA
Source: RNAcentral
CCAAUAGCGUAUAUUAAAGUUGUUGUGGUUAAAAAGCUCGUAGUUGAACCUUGGGCCUGGCUGGCCGGUCCGCCUCACCGCGUGUACUGGUCCGGCCGGGCCUUUCCCUCUGUGGAACCCCAUGCCCUUCACUGGGUGUGGCGGGGAAACAGGACUUUUACCUUGAAAAAAUUAGAGUUCUCCAGGCAGGCCUAUGCCAGAAAACAUUAGCCUGUAAUAAUAAAAUAGGACGUGUGGUUCUAUUUUGUUGGUUUCUAGGACCGCCGUAAUGAUUAAUAGGGACAGUCGGGGGCAUCAGUAUUCAAUUGUCAGAGGUGAAAUUCUUGGAUUUAUUGAAGACUAACUACUGCGAAAGCAUUUGCCAAGGAUGUUUUCAUUAAUCAGGAACGAAAGUUAGGGGAUCGAAGACGAUCAGAUACCGUCGUAGUCUUAACCAUAAACUAUGCCGACUAGGGAUCGGACGAUGUUAUUUUUUGACUCGUUCGGCACCUUACG